Molecule: ribosomal RNA, 441 nt
Filed under: uncultured soil bacterium
Lineage: Bacteria
Description: bacterial SSU rRNA
Rfam family: Bacterial small subunit ribosomal RNA
Source: RNAcentral
AGAACGAACGCUGGCGGCAUGCCUAAUACAUGCAAGUCGAACGAAGGCUUCGGCCUUAGUGGCGCACGGGUGCGUAACGCGCGGGGAUCUGCCCCUUGGUUCGGAAUAACAGUUGGAAACGACUGCUAAUACCGGAUGAUGACGAAAGUCCAAAGAUUUAUCGCCAAGGGAUGAGCCCGCGUAGGAUUAGCUAGUUGGUGAGGUAAAGGCUCACCAAGGCGACGAUCCUUAGCUGGUCUGAGAGGAUGAUCAGCCACACUGGGACUGAGACACGGCCCAGACUCCUACGGGAGGCAGCAGCAGGGAAUAUUGGACAAUGGGCGAAAGCCUGAUCCAGCAAUGCCGCGUGAGUGAUGAAGGCCUUAGGGUUGUAAAGCUCUUUACCGGGAUGAUAAUGACAGUAUCGGAGAAUAAGCCCGCUAACUCCGUGCUAGCAGCCGC